GACGAACGCUGGCGGCGUGCCUAAUACAUGCAAGUCGAACGCUUCUUUCCUCCCGAGUGCUUGCACUCAAUUGGAAAGAGGAGUGGCGGACGGGUGAGUAACACGUGGGUAACCUACCCAUCAGAGGGGGAUAACACUUGGAAACAGGUGCUAAUACCGCAUAACAGUUUAUGCCGCAUGGCAUAAGAGUGAAAGGCGCUUUCGGGUGUCGCUGAUGGAUGGACCCGCGGUGCAUUAGCUAGUUGGGGAGGUAACGGCUCACCAAGGCCACGAUGCAUAGCCGACCUGAGAGGGUGAUCGGCCACACUGGGACUGAGACACGGCCCAGACUCCUACGGGAGGCAGCAGUAGGGAAUCUUCGGCAAUGGACGAAAGUCUGACCGAGCAACGCCGCGUGAGUGAAGAAGGUUUUCGGAUCGUAAAACUCUGUUGUUAGCGAAGAACAAGGACGUUAGUAACUGAACGUCCCCUGACGGUAUCUAACCAGAAAGCCACGGCUAACUACGUG
Molecule: ribosomal RNA, 508 nt
Filed under: uncultured bacterium
Lineage: Bacteria
Description: partial 16S ribosomal RNA
Rfam family: Bacterial small subunit ribosomal RNA
Source: RNAcentral